UACGGAGGAUGCGAGCGUUAUCCGGAUUUAUUGGGUUUAAAGGGUGCGUAGGCGGGAUGCCAAGUCAGCGGUAAAAAUGCGGUGCUCAACGCCGUCGAGCCGUUGAAAAUGGCGUUCUUGAGUGGGCGAGAAGUAUGCGGAAUGCGUGGUGUAGCGGUGAAAUGCAUAGAUAUCACGCAGAACUCCGAUUGCGAAGGCAGCAUACCGGCGCCCUACUGACGCUGAGGCACGAAAGCGUGGGUAUCGAACAGG
RNAcentral lists this ribosomal RNA (252 nucleotides) under uncultured bacterium. Its description in RNAcentral is "partial 16S ribosomal RNA". It matches the Rfam family "Bacterial small subunit ribosomal RNA", at positions 524 to 776 of the family's 1533-position model. The record is from RNAcentral.